UGUGAGACUUUGCAAGGCUGCAUGGCUGACAGAAUCCAGAGCCUUUAGUUGAGUGAGGAACUUUCAGUAGAUGAAGUAUUUGGGAAAGUGUUCCAGCCACUGGAUGCCCAAGACGUUGAUGCCAAAUUGAAGAAGAUGAACUGUCUGAUAGUAGUGCACACUGGUUAUUGGAAAUUGCAGCAGAUUUUGGUGAAGCAAAGGAGAAUGG
This 208-nucleotide long non-coding RNA is filed under the name Phoenix dactylifera (date palm). RNAcentral's name for it is "long non-coding RNA (PDAC_LNC003799)". The record is from RNAcentral. Lineage: Eukaryota; Viridiplantae; Streptophyta; Magnoliopsida; Arecales; Arecaceae.